Cavia porcellus (domestic guinea pig) is the source of this 64-nucleotide transfer RNA. It matches the Rfam family "tRNA". Rfam says of the family: Transfer RNA (tRNA) molecules are approximately 80 nucleotides in length. Their secondary structure includes four short double-helical elements and three loops (D, anti-codon, and T loops). The record is from Rfam. Lineage: Eukaryota; Metazoa; Chordata; Mammalia; Rodentia; Caviidae.
GGGGAUUUAGCUCAGCGGCAUAAGCGCCUGUUUUGCAAGCAGGCACUAGUGAGUUCAAUCCCCA